CCUACGGGGCGCUGCAGUGGGGAAUAUUGCACAAUGGGGGGAACCCUGAUGCAGCGACGCCGCGUGGGUGAAGGAGUAUUUCGGUAUGUAAAGCCCUAUCAGCAGGGAAGAACAAUGACGGUACCUGACUAAGAAGCACCGGCUAAAUACGUGCCAGCAGCCGCGGUAAUACGUAUGGUGCAAGCGUUAUCCGGAUUUACUGGGUGUAAAGGGAGCGUAGACGGCAGUGCAAGUCUGGAGUGAAAGGCGGGGGCUCAACCCCCGGACUGCUCUGGAAACUGUACGGCUGGAGUGCAGGAGAGGUAAGUGGAAUUCCUAGUGUAGCGGUGAAAUGUGUAGAUAUUAGGAGGAACACCAGUGGCGAAGGCGGCUUACUGGACUGUAACUGACGUUGAGGCUCGAAAGCGUGGGGAGCAAACAGGAUUAGAUACCCUGGUAGUC
This 441-nucleotide ribosomal RNA is filed under the name uncultured bacterium. RNAcentral describes it as "partial 16S ribosomal RNA". It matches the Rfam family "Bacterial small subunit ribosomal RNA", at positions 338 to 795 of the family's 1533-position model. The record is from RNAcentral.